This 671-nucleotide ribosomal RNA is filed under the name uncultured Fusobacterium sp. Its description in RNAcentral is "bacterial SSU rRNA". It matches the Rfam family "Bacterial small subunit ribosomal RNA", at positions 173 to 866 of the family's 1533-position model. Lineage: Bacteria; Fusobacteriati; Fusobacteriota; Fusobacteriia; Fusobacteriales; Fusobacteriaceae. The record is from RNAcentral.
GCAAGAGAUACACAUGUAUCACUUGUCAAAGAUUUAUCGGUAUAGGAUGGGCCUGCGUCUGAUUAGCUAGUUGGUAGGGUAACGGCUUACCAAGGCAACGAUCAGUAGCCGACCUGAGAGGGUGAUCGGCCACAUUGGAACUGAGACACGGUCCAAACUCCUACGGGAGGCAGCAGUGGGGAAUAUUGCACAAUGGGCGCAAGCCUGAUGCAGCAACGCCGCGUGAAGGAUGAAGGCCUUCGGGUUGUAAACUUCUGUCCUAGGGGAAGAAACAAAUGACAUUACCCUUGGAGGAAGCCCCGGCUAACUACGUGCCAGCAGCCGCGGUAAUACGUAGGGGGCGAGCGUUAUCCGGAAUUAUUGGGCGUAAAGAGUGCGUAGGUGGCACCUUAAGCGCAGGGUUUAAGGCAAUGGCUCAACCAUUGUUCGCCUUGCGAACUGGGGUGCUUGAGUGCAGGAGGGGAAAGUGGAAUUCCUAGUGUAGCGGUGAAAUGCGUAGAUAUUAGGAGGAACACCAGUGGCGAAGGCGACUUUCUGGACUGUUACUGACACUGAGGCACGAAAGCGUGGGGAGCAAACAGGAUUAGAUACCCUGGUAGUCCACGCCGUAAACGAUGAGCACUAGGUGUCGGGGUCGCAAGACUUCGGUGCCGCAGUUAACGCAUUAAGUG